GUGUCAGCCGCCGCGGUAAUACAGAGACUGCGAGCGUUAUUCGGAUUCACUGGGCGUAAAGGGUGCGCAGGCGGCCGUGUGUGUCAGGUGUGAAAUCUCGAGGCUUAACCUCGAAAUUGCGCCUGAAACUACACGGCUAGAGUACUGGAGAGGGAAACGGAAUUCACGGUGUAGCAGUGAAAUGCGUAGAUAUCGUGAGGAACACCAGAGGCGAAGGCGGUUUCCUGGACAGUUACUGACGCUCAGGCACGAAAGCGUGGGGAGCAAAAGGGAUUAGAUACCCCAGUAGUCC
This 292-nucleotide ribosomal RNA is filed under the name uncultured bacterium. Its description in RNAcentral is "partial 16S ribosomal RNA". It matches the Rfam family "Bacterial small subunit ribosomal RNA", at positions 505 to 796 of the family's 1533-position model. The record is from RNAcentral.